CCUACGGGAGGCAGCAGUGAGGAAUAUUGGUCAAUGGACGCAAGCCUGAACCAGCCAUGCCGCGUGCAGGAAGACGGCCCUAUGAGUUGUAAACUGCUUUUAUACGAGGGUAAACGCAAAUACGCAUAUCUGUUUGCAUGUAUCUUACGAAUAAGGAUCGGCUAACUCCGUGCCAGCAGCCGCGGUAAUACGGAGGAUUCAAGCGUUAUCCGGAUUUAUUGGGUUUAAAGGGUGCGUAGGCGGUCUGAUAAGUUAGAGGUGAAAUCCCGAGGCUCAACCGCGGAAUUGCAGCUGAUACUGGUCGGCUAGAGAGUAGUAGCGGUAGGCGGAAUGCAUGGUGUAGCGGUGAAAUGCUUAGAGAUCAGAAAGAACACCGAUGGCGAAGGCAGCCUACCAGGCUACUUCUGACGUUGAGGCACGAAAGCGUGGGGAGCAAACAGGAUUAGAUACCCGAGUAGUC
This 460-nucleotide ribosomal RNA is filed under the name uncultured bacterium. RNAcentral's name for it is "partial 16S ribosomal RNA". It matches the Rfam family "Bacterial small subunit ribosomal RNA", at positions 338 to 795 of the family's 1533-position model. The record is from RNAcentral.